CGUUGCCCGAACAGUAAGUGUAAGCUGUGAUAUUUCAGUUCUCUUUCUUAUGAUGUUUUGCAGACCUUGUGCUCAGCUAUAAAUGGUGGAAAGUUGACGACUUUGUCAAGUGCUCCACUAACACGCAAGUACACUACAUCACAGAUUACCUGUAUGCAACAGCAAGACUCCACAGUGACUGCAGAAUGCUGAGGACCAAGCUGUUUCGCUGCUUGAACGAGAGCUACAGUUCAGCCGACAAGGCUGACCCCAAGCCUGAUGUUGACGGCGCCGGCAAGGUUCUGGAGAUCUUCUUAAGUAGAACAUGGUGCGUGGACGAGCGGGACCUGCCUCAGGGCACCGGGGGUGGCGCAGCGAGUAGCACAACAGGCAAUGGCAGCGAUGACGACGAUGAUCCCACAGACGAUCCCACAGACGAUCCCACAGACAAUCCGGCGGUCACAGGAACCGCAACCGCCGGCUCUGCGAUUCCCGUGGUGUCGGGAAAUCCGGACAAUGGCGUCAACGGCCAAACCAUUUCCACGUCUGGUCUCGCCGGUUUGGUCUUGGUCGUGCUGUUUAGAGUGCUGUCUUUUUAGGUGGAGCCACGUGUUAGAUGCAAUGAGUACUUUGCUGAUGUCGGAAAAACCUCUCACUCCGAAAAGCGAAGCGGACACAGCUGUAAAACUUGUUUCGCGUGCUGUAACGCAAUAGUGACUGCGUGAGGAGGAAAUUGAAGAUAGGGUGGGUGAUGGGGGCUAAAAGCCCACACAUUUUAUUUUACUUUCGGGAAGAAAGCUGUCACACACACACGAAGAGAAUGACAAUCUAUGAGCUCGCCUCUUUUGUCAAUUCGCUUUUAAUGGUGGAAACCUACCAACUAACCCAUUUUCUCAUUCCUUUCAUUGUGAACAUAAUCUCAGAUAUUUUUUUCACGGAAUGUUUACCUAUUGCAAUUGGCCUCGUGUACGACCGACGGUGACGCGGCGAGCAAUGAUCCGGUGACGUCAGCAAGGGGAUCCGCCUUUGUCAUCUGAUAUCCAGUUGGUGGAAUCGCUGCAUUUUCCAUUCAUAGCUCCUACUUUGAAUGCAUACACACAAGGCCUCGAGCACGCGUAUAACAGUUCGUAAUCUUUUCGAAUGUAAUUUCAUAAACUACUGGUAUUAUAGGCCAACCACCAUUCUAGUUUCUUAUCUGUCAUCCAUAAAACCACAUUCAUUGUGGCCCAGGAAGCCAACCAUGGAUAUCGUCACACAAAUGCAAGACGUCCCGCCUCUUCACCAAAGGCCUCUGCAGCUUUGUAACCGAAGCACAACCGAAUAAAGACGAGCAAACUGCCGUUUA
Dermacentor silvarum is the source of this 1324-nucleotide long non-coding RNA. RefSeq lists it as uncharacterized. Lineage: Eukaryota; Metazoa; Arthropoda; Arachnida; Ixodida; Ixodidae. The record is from RefSeq and is a predicted model, not a curated record. The transcript is spliced from 2 exons.